CCUACGGGAGGCAGCAGUGAGGAAUAUUGCACAAUGGGUGAAACCCUGAUGCAGCGACGCCGCGUGAACGAUGAAGUAUUUCUGUAUUUAAAACUCUAUCAACAGGGGAGAAAAUGACGGUACGUGCCUAAAAAUCCACGUCUACCUACGUGCAGGCAGCCGCGGUACUGCGUAGGGGGCAGGCGUUAUCCGGAUUUACUGGGGGUAAAGGGGGCGUAGACGGCGUUGUAAGACAGAUGUGAAAGCCAGGGGCUCAACCAUAGGACUGCAGUUGGAACUGGAUAGCUGGAGUGUGGGAGAGGUAGGCGGAAUGCCUAGUGUAGCGGUGAAAUGCGUAGAUAUUACGAGGAACACCAGUGGCGAAGGCGGCCUGCUGGACGAUGACUGACGUUGAGGCUCGAAAGCGUGGGGAGCAAACAGGAUUAGAUACCCGGGUAGUC
Molecule: ribosomal RNA, 440 nt
Filed under: uncultured bacterium
Lineage: Bacteria
Description: partial 16S ribosomal RNA
Rfam family: Bacterial small subunit ribosomal RNA
Source: RNAcentral